GGAGAGGUGCCCGAGCCUGGCCGAAGGGGCACGACUGGAAAUCGUGCGUCCCCUCUAAAAGGGGGACCGUGGGUUCGAAUCCCACCCUCUCCGCCA
RNAcentral lists this transfer RNA (96 nucleotides) under Caldifarciminota bacterium. Its description in RNAcentral is "tRNA-Ser". It matches the Rfam family "tRNA". From Rfam's summary of the family: Transfer RNA (tRNA) molecules are approximately 80 nucleotides in length. Their secondary structure includes four short double-helical elements and three loops (D, anti-codon, and T loops). Further hydrogen bonds mediate the characteristic L-shaped molecular structure. tRNAs have two regions of fundamental functional importance: the anti-codon, which is responsible for specific mRNA codon recognition, and the 3' end, to which the tRNAs corresponding amino acid is attached (by aminoacyl-tRNA synthetases). tRNAs cope with the degeneracy of the genetic code in two manners: having more than one tRNA (with a specific anti-codon) for a particular amino acid; and 'wobble' base-pairing, i.e. permitting non-standard base-pairing at the 3rd anti-codon position. RNAcentral also lists the same sequence under 1 other name. The record is from RNAcentral. Lineage: Bacteria; Pseudomonadati; Caldifarciminota.